UGGGGAAUAUUGGACAAUGGGCGCAAGCCUGAUCCAGCCAUGCCGCGUGAGUGAAGAAGGCCUUCGGGUUGUAAAGCUCUUUUAGUCGGAAAGAAAAGAUCAUAAUGAACAAUUAUGAUUCAUGACGGUACCGACAGAAAAAGCACCGGCUAACUACGUGCCAGCAGCCGUGGUAAUACGUAGGGUGCGAGCGUUAAUCGGAAUUACUGGGCGUAAAGGGUGCGCAGGCGGUUUUGUAAGUCAGAUGUGAAAUCCCCGGGCUUAACCUGGGAAUUGCGUUUGAAACUGCAAGACUAGAGUGCAGCAGAGGGGAGUGGAAUUCCAUGUGUAGCAGUGAAAUGCGUAGAGAUGUGGAAGAACACCGAUGGCGAAGGCAGCUCCCUGGGUUGACACUGACGCUCAUGCACGAAAGCGUGGGGAGCAAACA
RNAcentral lists this ribosomal RNA (427 nucleotides) under uncultured beta proteobacterium. RNAcentral's name for it is "bacterial SSU rRNA". It matches the Rfam family "Bacterial small subunit ribosomal RNA", at positions 355 to 774 of the family's 1533-position model. Lineage: Bacteria; Pseudomonadati; Pseudomonadota; Betaproteobacteria. The record is from RNAcentral.